UGCCGAGCGAGCGGAGCGUAGCGAGAGAAAAGAAAAUAUCUCCUCUUUCUCCAUCCUCCCUGAAAAUAUCUCCUCUUUCUCCAUCCUCCCUCCUUAUCCGGCUCCUCUUCUCCAUGCCGUCGCCGUCGCCUCCUCUUCCCCGUCGCUCACAGCCGCCUCGCCCCCUCCGCCUUCACCACCUCCUCUCGUGGCUCCCGUGUCGGAGUUCAGUGCCAGGGGAAGAGGGAUCGACGAUGGCGCAACAGAGGAGAUGGAGUAGCGUGCUCCUGCCGCCGUCCGACCCCAUCCUUCCUCCGCUCCUCCCCGCCCCUGCCUCCGCCUUGCCGCAUCCUCUGCGCCGUCGUGCCAUCACACCAUCUCCACUUCUGCCCAGCGCCCCGCUGCAGCCGCCUGCUGGUCGUCCUAUUCUAUAUGGAGCUGCACAUCGGCUUCGGCAUCGUCGCCGGCAGCGACUUCAUUCACCGCCUCCUCUAUAUUCAGUCCCUCUCAGACAAACCCAUCCAUGAGACAUCCAUAGCAAACUGAAACUCAAUUUCAUCGCAUUAGUCAAAGCAUGCCAUCACGUAUUCUUUGCUGUUGUCACUGGAAUCCUUUACAACCCGACAUUAUCACUGGAAUUCUUUACAACCUGACAUUAUCGGGUUUCUUAAUUUUCUCCAUUGGACACUCUCCUAUCUGAAAUAUUAGUCUUGCCUAUUUAAUGGUGGUUCACAUGCAGGUUCAGAGAGUAGCUCACUUGGAUAUGAGCAUAUGUGCAAUCUUGAGUGGUCUCAAGACGAGAUGAAUUAAACAAUGUUGACAUGCUGGUUGUGCUAGGAUGAUUUUGUCAUGUUUCAUGCUUCAAGAAAAGCAGGCUGGUCUUACAUCUAUUUGGAAUAUUUAGAUGGCCAAGGUCAAAGAGUAUCAAGGUGCUUCUAACUGAUCUCACUCUUAUUAUUUGUGGCUGCCAAUUUCCGUGUUUCAAAGGGAAAAAAUGCACUGCUGCUUCAUGUGUAUGUUGGUUUAAAUAUGAUACAAUAGUUUGCGCAUUGUGUAUCCUAUAUGCCCAAUGGUUUCCUGAUCUAGGGCUUAUAUUGUGUACUAAAAUAAUCCUAUUUUCUUUGAAAGGUGGGUUUUUAUUGGAAAUACGUCAAACCUUUACUUUUUGAUUUUUGUUUCUUUCAGUUUCAUUUUAUGCCACUUUCAGGUUAAAAGUGGAAAAUAUACAUGGUUCUCAAUGUUUUAUGCUUUGGUUAUUUGGAGUUACCCUCAAACUAAUGCCAGCCUCCAUUUGUCCAAUCAAAGUAAACCUAUGUGCAUGUCUACUAUAUUGUGCGCGAGUAAGCAAAAUUUUAUAUUGGCAUGUGGAACUGUUACUUGGUCCAUGUUUAGCACUUGGCAGAUGAACCUGGAAUGUGAACCAUGCAUAAAUAGCAAGGUAUGAUGAUUAGUAAAUUGUGUUAAUACUCGGUACUUUUCUUCCAACUAAAGUAUAGCUCCAGUUCAGAUGUUAGUUACAUUAUGUCUACUUGAAUUUAGUGCAUUUUUUUGGUUCCCUCUUUCUGUGUUGAAAAUAUGUAAAUUGAUGCAUCAUGUGUAGCUUGUCACUCUGUUUCUACUUGGCAAGGUCUGCAAUAGAUUAUAUAUGCAUUACAUGGUCUGCUUCUUUUGCCUGCGUCAACAUAUGUAUGUUGUUCGUAUUGUCUUUUCAUGCUUAUUUUUUCAGGGAUCCCUCACCCUCUUAAUUCAUUCGUAUUCUUUCCUUCUUAGUUGCAGUGUUGCAAGGUAUACCCUGCCUUGGAGAAGGGCAUUCUGUGGGCUGCUUCUACAGGUUACAUAUAGUUUUCCCACUGCUUCUCCUAAUUAUGCACAAUGCCAAAACCAGACAGAAAAGAGUGGGCACUAUUAGUUUUACUUUCUUAUCUGCUAUCAUAUUUUAUUCUUUACAGAGUAUCAAAUCUGAGAUCAAUCCAGUUUUGAGUUAGGUUACCUAAAGACUCCAUGCACCUCUUCGUCACAUGUCCACUGAUCAAUGUUCUGUAAUAACCCUCCGGGCCCUUAUUUCUUAUUUGGAUCUUUUGUCACACCGUCUCAUGGAGACAAGUGGCAAGGAGGACGUCUUCUCGUGGCGUUCCUACCUCUGGGGGAGAUCCCCCCCACCCCCGGGUGAUUCUCAAAAAAAGGUCCAGUUUUGAGUUUUGACACCCAUUAAUGAUGCAUUCAUGUUAUGAGUUACAAAAUACUAAAUCUAAAAUGACAUGAUUUUAGAAAGUUGGGUGGGUUGAAAGAACCAAACUGUUUCAAGUUACACGUCUUCUCUGUCGUGGGCUAAAAGCUAUAUAUGUUUGCCUCGAUGAAUUUUCGAAAGAAAAUACAGUAUGCCUUUAUUUACCAUGGAUUGACGGAGUUCACGUGUGUUUUCAUUGGUUUUUUAAAUGAUUUCUUAAGCGGCCUUCUAUGAUUUCCCACUAUGAUUUAUUUGGGCAUGAGGGUGGCUCUUUUGAGUGAAUGUUUGGAAUAAGCAGUAAGUUGAAAGGUGCCGGAAAUAACUCUAUCCUGGCAAGAUGUGAGUCUCCGUUGUCCAGUCACUAUACACCAAUGAGGUGGUGUUGGAAACUAUGAAAUUGGCUUUCUCUUAAUUUUCUUAUUAUAGAUGUGUAUUUAAUUUGGAUCCCCGAUGAUGUCUAUAUCUAAUAUGUAUAUCUAGAAGUAGUGUUUUUUUGUGUGUAUUAUGAUCCCUCGUUAGAACAAAAAUAGUAUACAUUUACUAUUUUGGACCAUAAUUCAUUGAGUGAAAUUGCAAGCAUUUGCAACUUUUCACCAGUUAUAAUUUCAAA
Triticum urartu is the source of this 2816-nucleotide long non-coding RNA. RefSeq lists it as uncharacterized. The record is from RefSeq and is a predicted model, not a curated record. Lineage: Eukaryota; Viridiplantae; Streptophyta; Magnoliopsida; Poales; Poaceae.